Molecule: long non-coding RNA, 728 nt
Filed under: Octopus vulgaris (common octopus)
Lineage: Eukaryota; Metazoa; Mollusca; Cephalopoda; Octopoda; Octopodidae
Source: RNAcentral
AAUGCAUAGCCUUCGAAGUGAGAUGUGAUGUAUCGGUCACGAAUCCACGAGAGGCUUCGCAAUUUCAACAUUACUGUCUUCAAAUCUUCGUGAAACAUACCGAUGCAUGAUCUAUUCUAUCUAUUCUUGGUAUGCUGAGUAAACUAACGAGUAAUAAAGAGAUAGUGCGAGAAGUGGCGGGAACUAAGGAUAUACACAGACAUGCAGGAGGUAAACAGACACCUUUAAUUUUCAAAAUUUCUGAUCUAAGCAUCUUAAUAUAUUUUCAGCGGUGUAGAAUUUACAAUAUAAUUAUUCUUUUUUCGUUCCAGGUGCCAUUAUAUUAAACAUUUGCGAAGAGUAACCAUGCUACGCACAAAAAAUUCAGCAGCCGUAUUGUUGGGCAAUCUGAGGCUGGUCUUAGCCAGCGAAAAAUUGCCGAAAAUCCUCAAAUUCCUCUUGGUACUGUUAAUAGAAUUAUAGUGCAAUUCAAAAGCCAAGGAAAAGAAUCAACAGAUUCUCGUCACGGCCGACCUGGACUCUCGGAAACGGAGCUUCGCUGCUUGAAGAGAAUUGUGGAAAACGGACCCCGUUCGAAGGCUUCUGACAUUGCAAAACAGCUAGAAGUUAGUCCAAGAACGUGUGUUACAUAUCUGCAUAAGAUUGAGUAUUAUGGACGAGCAGCUAGAAGAAAGCCUCUCCUUCAACCAAUUAAUAUCAAAUAAAAGAUUUUGAAAAUUAAAGGUGUC